CCUACGGGUGGCAACAGUGGGGAAUAUUGGACAAUGGGCGAAAGCCUGAUCCAGCCAUGCCGCGUGUGUGAAGAAGGCCUUCGGGUUGUAAAGCACUUUCAGUGGGGAAGAAAGCCUUGGGGCUAAUACCCUCGAGGAAGGACAUCACCCACAGAAGAAGCACCGGCUAACUCCGUGCCAGCAGCCGCGGUAAUACGGAGGGUGCGAGCGUUAAUCGGAAUUACUGGGCGUAAAGCGCGCGUAGGCGGUCUGAUAAGCCGGUUGUGAAAGCCCCGGGCUCAACCUGGGAACGGCAUCCGGAACUGUCAGGCUAGAGUGCAGGAGAGGAAGGUAGAAUUCCCGGUGUAGCGGUGAAAUGCGUAGAGAUCGGGAGGAAUACCAGUGGCGAAGGCGGCCUUCUGGACUGACACUGACGCUGAGGUGCGAAAGCGUGGGUAGCAAACAGGAUUAGAUACCCUUGUAGUC
RNAcentral lists this ribosomal RNA (465 nucleotides) under Vreelandella stevensii. Its description in RNAcentral is "partial 16S ribosomal RNA". It matches the Rfam family "Bacterial small subunit ribosomal RNA", at positions 338 to 795 of the family's 1533-position model. The record is from RNAcentral. Lineage: Bacteria; Pseudomonadati; Pseudomonadota; Gammaproteobacteria; Oceanospirillales; Halomonadaceae.